This 406-nucleotide ribosomal RNA is filed under the name uncultured bacterium. RNAcentral describes it as "partial 16S ribosomal RNA". It matches the Rfam family "Bacterial small subunit ribosomal RNA", at positions 28 to 526 of the family's 1533-position model. The record is from RNAcentral.
GAUGAACGCUAGCUACAGGCUUAACACAUGCAAGUCGAGGGACCGGCGCACGGGUGAGUAACACGUAUACAACCUGCCCUUUACUCGGGGAUAGCCUUGCGAAAGAAAGAUUAAUACCCGAUGUAAAGGAUGGGGAUGCGUUCCAUUAGGUUGUUGGUGAGGUAACGGCUCACCAAGCCUUCGAUGGAUAGGGGUUCUGAGAGGAAGGUCACCGGCAUUGGAACUGGGACACGAUCCAUACGCGUACGAGAGGCAGCAGUGAGGAAUAUUGGUAAAUGGGCCUUAGCCUGCAACGGCCAAGUAGCGUGAAGGAUGAAGGCUUAUGGGUCGUAAACUUCUUUUAUAUAAGAAUAUGUAUUAGAUGAAUAAGGAACGGCUAACUCCGUGCCAGCCGCCGCGGUAAUUC